This 253-nucleotide ribosomal RNA is filed under the name uncultured bacterium. RNAcentral's name for it is "partial 16S ribosomal RNA". It matches the Rfam family "Bacterial small subunit ribosomal RNA", at positions 524 to 776 of the family's 1533-position model. The record is from RNAcentral.
UACGUAGGGGGCGAGCGUUGUCCGGAAUCAUUGGGCGUAAAGCGCGUGUAGGCGGCCCGGAAAGUCUGGUGUGAAAACUUGAGGCUCAACCUCAAGCUGUCACUGGAUACUAUCGGGCUUGAGUCCGGAAGAGGAGAGUGGAAUUCCUGGUGUAGCGGUGGAAUGCGCAGAUAUCAGGAGGAACACCGGUGGCGAAGGCGGCAUCCUGGACCAAUAUUGACGCUGAGGAGCGAAAGCCAGGGGAGCAAACGGG